AGAGUUUGAUCAUGGCUCAGAACGAACGCUGGCGGCAGGCCUCAAACAUGCAAGUCUAGGGGGCGUAGCAAUACGUCACCGGCGGACGGGUGCGUAACACGUGGGAAUGUACUUAUUGGUUCGGAACAACUCAGGGAAACUUGAGCUAAUACCGAAUGUGCCCGAAAGGGGAAAGAUUUAUCGCCAAUAAAUCAGCCCGCGUCCGAUUAGCUAGUUGGUGGGGUAAAGGCCCACCAAGGCGACGAUCGGUAGCUGUUCUGAGAGGAAGAUCAGCCACACUGGGACUGAGACACGGCCCAGACUCCUACGGGAGGCAGCAGUUGGGAAUCUUGGACAAUGGGGGAAACCCUGAUCCAGCCAUGCCGCGUGAGUGAUGAAGGCCUUAGGGUUGUAAAACUCUUUCGGCGGGGACGAUAAUGACGGUACCCGCAGAAGAAGCUCCGGCUAACUUCGUGCCAGCAGCCGCGGUAAUACGAAGGGGGCUAGCGUUGUUCGGAAUUACUGGGCGUAAAGCGCGCGCAGGCGGCCUUUCAAGUCAGUGGUGAAAGCCCGGAGCUCAACUCCGGAACUGCCAUUGAAACUGUUUGGCUUGAGUACGAGAGAGGUGAGUGGAAUUCCCAGUGUAGAGGUGAAAUUCGUAGAUAUUGGGAAGAACACCGGUGGCGAAGGCGGCUCACUGGCCCGUAACUGACGCUCAGGCGCGACAGCGUGGGGAUCAAACAGGAUUAGAUACCCUAGUAGUCC
RNAcentral lists this ribosomal RNA (744 nucleotides) under uncultured bacterium. RNAcentral's name for it is "bacterial SSU rRNA". It matches the Rfam family "Bacterial small subunit ribosomal RNA", at positions 8 to 796 of the family's 1533-position model. The record is from RNAcentral.